CCUACGGGAGGCAGCAGUGGGGAAUAUUGGACAAUGCGGGGAACCCUGAUCCAGCGACGCCGCGUGAGUGAAGAAGUAUUUCGGUAUGUAAAGCUCUAUCAGCAGGGAAGAAAAUGACGGUACCUGACUAAGAAGCCCCGGCUAACUACGUGCCAGCAGCCGCGGUAAUACGUAGGGGGCAAGCGUUAUCCGGAGUGACUGGGUGUAAAGGGAGCGUAGACGGUGCAGCAAGUCUGAUGUGAAAGGUCGGAGCCCAACCCUGGGACGGCAAGGGAUACUGUUGAACUGGAGUACAAGAGAGGAUAGCAGAAUUCCUGGUGUAGCGGUGAAAUGCGUAGAUAUUAGGAGGAACACCAGUAGCGAAGGCGGCUUACUGGACUGUAACUGACGUUGAGGCUCGAAAGCGUGGGGAGCAAACAGGAUUAGAUACCCUUGUAGUC
This 440-nucleotide ribosomal RNA is filed under the name uncultured bacterium. RNAcentral's name for it is "partial 16S ribosomal RNA". It matches the Rfam family "Bacterial small subunit ribosomal RNA", at positions 338 to 795 of the family's 1533-position model. The record is from RNAcentral.